AAGUUAAUGAAUGAUGGUUACCAAAAUAUGUUCUCUACUACAUUUUUUCACCCUCUGUAUCUCUUCACAAUUACUUUUACUUCCAUCGAGGAAGCAACUGCUCUCCUAAAAUGGAAAUCAAUUUUGUAAAAUAAGAAUGAUUCCUUAUUGGCUUCAUGGACACAAAAUUCUAGUGAAUGCAAGGACUGGAAUGGAGUUAAAUGUUCUAAUGCUAGAGUAAACAGGCACAAUCCCACCACAAAUCGACUCAAAAGCUUGGCAUCUCUGAGAACCAUUUAAAUGGUUCGAUUCCAGGAGAAAUAGGUUACCUAAGGUUUCUUACUUUGCUAGCUUUGAAUAAUAACUUUCUUGAUGGUUCUAUUCCAGGUGAGAUAGGUUACCUAAGGUCUCUUACUCUGCUAUCUUUGAAUAAUAACUUUCUUGAUGGUUCUAUUCCCUAUUCAUUAGGGAAUUUGAACAACUUGACCUAUUUGUAUCUUUAUGGGAAUCGCCUAUCUAGCUCCAUUCCUAUAGAAAUAGGGAAAUUCGUCAAUCUUACCUUGAUUCAAAUCAGUUAACAGGUCAUAUUCCUCCAGAAAUAGGCAACUCGAUCAAUGUAAGAGUGUUCUCUGCUUUCUGCAAUGAAAUUUCUGGUCUCAACCCUGUAGAAAUAGCAAAGAUGCAAGUACUUGAGGUAUUGGACCUAUCAGUCAACUUGCUUGAAGGAGAGAUACCAGAACAACUUGUUUCUCUUACAAAUCUUGUAAUGUUAAGUUCUAUAUUGAUCUU
This is a long non-coding RNA of Solanum dulcamara, 768 nucleotides long. RefSeq lists it as uncharacterized. The transcript is spliced from 2 exons. The record is from RefSeq and is a predicted model, not a curated record. Lineage: Eukaryota; Viridiplantae; Streptophyta; Magnoliopsida; Solanales; Solanaceae.